GACGAACGCUGGCGGCGUGCUUAACACAUGCAAGUCGAACGGAAAGGCCCUGCUUGCAGGGUACUCGAGUGGCGAACGGGUGAGUAACACGUGGGUGAUCUGCCCUGCACUUCGGGAUAAGCUUGGGAAACUGGGUCUAAUACCGGAUAGGAACCAUCUUCAGUGUGGUGGUUGGAAAGUUUUUUCGGUGUAGGAUGAGCUCGCGGCCUAUCAGCUUGUUGGUGGGGUAAUGGCCUACCAAGGCGGCGACGGGUAGCCGGCCUGAGAGGGUGUACGGCCACAUUGGGACUGAGAUACGGCCCAGACUCCUACGGGAGGCAGCAGUGGGGAAUAUUGCACAAUGGGCGCAAGCCUGAUGCAGCGACGCCGCGUGGGGGAUGAAGGCCUUCGGGUUGUAAACUCCUUUCGCUAGGGACGAAGCUUUGUUGUGACGGUACCUAGAUAAGAAGUACCGGCUAACUACGUG
Molecule: ribosomal RNA, 466 nt
Filed under: uncultured bacterium
Lineage: Bacteria
Description: partial 16S ribosomal RNA
Rfam family: Bacterial small subunit ribosomal RNA
Source: RNAcentral